GAUAAGCGCCUCAAAUGGGGGCAGGGAAAUGUAACUCGGGGCAGCAAUUCCCACAGGAGAUAACUACGGAAGCAGAGCGAGGACAUUUAGUCAGUGCAACCGCAUUAGGAAGAGGAAGAGAUAGCGGGUCCAGCUCAUCUUUGAAGUACUGGAACGAGUUUUGGGUUUAAGUAGAAGGCAAGAGGAACGCACAGCACAAUUAAGCAGUCCUGGUCAGAGUGUGGCCCUUCCCAUCAGGGUCUCAGCCCCAGACCUGCACAGUGGUCCAUAAAUUGUGUUUGUUGUUGUUAUUGUUUCUUUUGAGAUGGGGUAUCUCUCACUGUGUAGCUCUGGAACCUAGCUUUUGAACUCACAGAGAACUGCGUGCCUCUGCCUCCUACGUAGGAUUAAAGGUGCGUGCUGCUGUGUCUGGUAGGUUCAUAAAUGUUCAUCUACUAACCUGUCACCCUCAGGGGAGCCAGUUCGCUUGCUACAAGCUGAUUCCUUCUGCUCCAGAGGGACGCCUCACGUCGUGGAUAAUUGUCCUUAUGCCUCCAUGUGCUGAGACUACAAGUGUGCGCCUCCAGGACCACGCCAUCAUGCCGGUGUGCCACCAUACUGGCGGGACUCCAUCCGAACUCUGACAAGGUUCCCCUCUGCCUCUGAAGACCCAUGAACAACGUGCUGUGGUUUGGUUUUGGCGCUCUUUAUUCCUGGGAUGAAAUCUGUCCCAGCUGGGCUGUCGACAGACAAGCUGCUAAAUUCUGUCAGGAAAUUAUAAAACACGGCUGGUAAGAA
This is a long non-coding RNA of Myodes glareolus (Bank vole), 777 nucleotides long. RefSeq lists it as uncharacterized. Lineage: Eukaryota; Metazoa; Chordata; Mammalia; Rodentia; Cricetidae. The record is from RefSeq and is a predicted model, not a curated record.